AUAAAAAAGAUAACAACUAUUCUUUAUUUCAAAGUCCUUCAUGAAAACCCAUAGAAGGCCAGAAUACUUUGCCUAUGAUUAGCGCUACAACCUGAAGACUUGCACUAAACUCAUCAUCCUGUUGCGUGAAGGAAAUUUGGUGCGUACAUCAAGCAGAAUAGCAGAAAACAUAACUUGGUAGUUUCAUGUUUAACACUACUUUGAUAUUGUUUCGAAAACUCAAUCACGGAACAUGUUAUCUACCAAAUUGUAAUGGUGUUUGGUGUAUCUCCACACAAUGUUGUUGCCAUGCAGCAUUGACUUGAUACUUUGAAGAAUGUAUAUCUGUUAUUCUCUAGUAUACAUCCAAUAAUUAUUUUUGACUUUAAGAGUGCAGAUAUCCAUUAAACUGAUUUGUUCGAACCAUACAUGAUAGUAUCAUUCUACAUAGUCUCAAUAACAAAGGGAACUUGGACUAAUGGUUUAAUAUAUCUAUUCAUGCUGAAUUCUCCUGCUUUUAGCUGGAAAAGGUUGUGUUCACUUUUAUUUGAAUAAACAAAAACUGCAUGCGCUCUCAUGAUAUUCGUUAGAUUAUUUCACUUCUACUAAUCUGAGUAUAUGACGCUUGUUUUCGGAAAGGUAGCUCAUGAUAAAAAAAAGGGACUCGGUUAUACUCUGAUAUGUGACCAAGAGGAUUAAAAUCAGGCCUAAUGCUCGAUGUCUGUCGCACCUGUGGACGUGGCUCGACCACCCAUAUGAUUCUAUCUGAAUAUUUGAUAAUUUGAGUGGAACUCUGAAUAGAAUUAGUGAAUGUAUCUACCAGUUUCGGAUCUCUUGCUCCCAUACAUGAUGUGGAUCCUCCAACUGGGGUCCUUUGUUGUACUGUAUUGACACAAAAUAACUGACACCAUGAGCCAAAUAAAAUAUAGAAGUCAGGUAAUGAGUGUCAAUGUUUUAUCAGAAGAAAUAUUGUAAUUAAAUUGUAUGAAUUCAAUGAGCUAAGAGAGUUCGAUUAGUUUGAAUCAAAAUUAUGUGACCAUUUCUACAUAAAAGAGUGUAAAAAAAACUUAUUGUAGAUAACAUGAGCAACCAAUAACUGUUUUUAUCUAACAAAAAACAACGGGUAGAGAAUCUUUUGUCAAUAAAAUCAAUCCUUGAUAAUUCAGAAAUGGACGAUGAACUAGACAUAGAUUAAAGGUUGGUAGUUACUACUACACGGUUGGUAGUUAUGCAUCGGGAAGGAGAGGCCUUGGAGGCGGGUGCAUUCCAUAUUGUAUGUAUUGUCCAAUUAGCAUAAAUAAGAAAGAAAAAAACAUGACGACAACAAAUACAUGAAGAUAGAAAUGUAUAAAUUACUCUGAAGAUAAAUUAGCUGACAUGCAUGGAUGGAUAAUGUACGUGGGAGCUGAGGUUGACUAUUCCAUGGUUCAGAAAGAGAUGAAGCGCGGCUGGCGAGGCACCUUCAGAUUGGAGGCUCCGCUUGCAUUCCUCUCCUCCAGGCUCCAGCGCGAGCGCAGCCACCAUGCGGGAAGGCCGCCGUGUUCUAAGUGACACGUCGGCCAGCGCCCACGGCCCUGAACACCUCCAUGCCCACACCUCUGCUGGCUUGUGCAUCUCUCGAUUCCUCCAGCUUUUGCACCAGCCACUGCUCUGGUGGACGUCGCCACCUAGAUCCAAGAAGGAGUGUGUUUGUCGUCCUAUUCGACCGGCACCACACCGAUGGAGAUCGUGGCACAUCACAUGGGAGGCGACAUCGGGAAGGAGAGGCCUUGGAGGCGGGUGCGUGCGGACGUCUUCAUGGAGGGAGACAUCGAUGAUUAUCACAACUGUUUACUCAUGAAAUAUUCAUUCAGGUUUUACUGGGCACAAACAUCAUGAUACCUAUGAGUUUCUCUUACCAGUUUUAUUCAGUUGGCGACAUAAGUUUCCAAUUUUAGGUCAUUUACCGGUUUAAUAAGCUACUUCAUGAACGCUGAACAUCAUGUGCUUAUCUUCCAUGCUAACUUGCGGCAUUUACCAACUGUUAGCAGCUUAGUUGAGUCUGUUGAGUAAAUAGGCAAUUUUUCGAGUAGAUUAAUCCANAUCUCUAAUUUCAACAAUCCCCCACCAGAUCUCAAGGGCACAUCGUGUUCCCUCGUUCCAAUCACUGUUUUAAUAUACCAGCAUUUCAGUGAAGACCUGUUAAGGUUGAGCUUCACCUAGAGCAAGUAGCUACACCCCUUUACAACUGAACAAUGGACUAUGCCUUGAAUUGUCAGUUUGGCGUAAAGGAGCUUUACCACAAGUCUUACUAGUACUAGGUUGCCGAAGGUGACCCCUCGGGUGGAGCAUAGUAGUCACACUCGUGGCCUAUUCAUGAGUUUACUAGAGAUCACCCAAAUCUCAUAGACUGUGACCAGCAGUCAAGCUCAUAUAGGUGUGUUCCUCCAAAGUUCGCUUUGUAGGACAGCAUCUUGCUUACAUAUAAGCUUUAGAACACAUUAAGACAGUAGUCAUCCUACCAUACAGUAUCCUAGAGUAUUGCAUCUCCAACGGAGUGGGUUAGUAAAGUUACUCUCCUCAGUUCACCACUGGCUUGUUUUCCCAGGUCCUACUUCACGGGAUCUUCGAUCAUAUAGGUUGGGUUACUGCCAUGGCAACUCAUGUGGGUCUCAUACCCAUCUCCCUCGAUGCACUGUCUAUCACAACACGUGAUAGCCCUUUAGUAAAGGGAUCUGCCAGAUUCUUAGCCGUUUGGAUGUAAUCCAACGCUAUCACUCCGGAGUUUCUCAAACGUCUGACAUACUUCAAUCUCAUUCUUAUAUGUUUGUUGGACUUCAUAUUGUCCUUUGAACUCUUCACUUUAACAAUAAUUGUUUGAUUAUCGCAGUUCAUAAGGAUAGCCGGAACCGGCUUCUCAACCACAGGUAAGUCCAUCAAAAGAUCUCGAAGAAAUUCUGCUUCGACACCAGAUGUGUCUAAUGCUGUUAAUUCUGCUUCCAUUGUCGAUCUCGUUAAGAUCGUUUGCUUGCAAGACUUCUAGGAAACAACACCACCCCAAGAGUAAACAUAUACCCAGUGGUGGCCUUCAUCUCAUCAGCAUCAGAGAUCCAAUUCGCAUCACUAUACCCUUCAAGUACCGAUGGGAAUCCUGUAUAGUGAAGCCCGUGGUUGACAGUACCUUUCAAGUAGCGCAUAACUCUUUCAACAGCACGCCAAUGAACAUCGCCCGGGUUUGCAACAAACCGGCUAAGUUUGCUCACAGCAAACGCGAUGUCAGGCCUCGUUGCGCUAGCUAGGUACAUAAGCGAACCGAUAAUUUGAGAGAAUCUCAAUUGAUCUAUAGUUGUGCCUUUAAACUUUCGAAUAAGCACACUAGGAUCAUAUGGUGUUUGAGAAAUUUUGCAGUCUGGAUAUCCAAAGCGACUCAAAAUCUUCUCAACAUAGUGGGAUUGCAGAAGUGUAAUCCCACCCUCAUCAUCUCUCAACAGCUUGAUGUUCAAGAUAACAUCAGCCACCCCAAGGUCCUUCAUCUCAAAGUUUUGAGACAGAAAAGACUUAACCUCCUCAAUUACUUUGAGGUUGGUUCCAAAUAUCAGUAUGUCAUCAACAUACAAGCAUAAUAUAACUCCUUCGCCCCCACCAUGGCAAUAGUAUACACAUUUGUCAGCUUCAUUAACAACGAAGCCAACAGAUGUCAGAGUUGUAUUAAACUUCUCAUGCCAUUGCUUAGGUGCUUGUCUCAGACCAUAUAAAGAUUUCAGCAACUUACACACCUUUUCUUCCUGACCUUCUAUCACAAAGCCAUCUGGCUGUUGCAUAUAGAUUUCCUCAUUUAGCUCUCCAUUCAGGAAAGCCGUCUUAAUGUCCAUUUGAUGAACGAGAAGACCAUGAGAGGCCGCCAAUGAGAGUAGUACUCGAAUGGUGGUCAGUCUAGCCACAGGUGAAUAAGUAUCGAAGAAAUCUUCUUCUUCUUUCUGGGCAUAGCCCUUGGCCACAAGCCUAGCCUUGUACUUUUCAAUCGUACCAUCGGGCCUAAGUUUCUUUUUGAACACCCACUUGCAUCCCAAUGGUUUGCAACCAUAGGGACGAUCAGUGAUUUCCCAUGUCCCGUUAGCCAUGAUGGAAUCCAUCUCGCUACGGACCGCAGCUUUCCAGUAAUCAGCAUCUGGAGAAGCAUACGCUUCUGAAAUAGAAGUGGGAUUAUCAUCCACGAGGUAUACGAAGAAAUCAUCACCAAAGGUCUUUGCAGUCCUUUGUCUCUUGCCCCUACCACGGGCUUCCUCGUCAUCCUCCUCAGGAUUUUCAUCGUGUGUUUGUUCAUAGUAUUCCAUAGGAAUGGCAGGCUCAGGAGUUAUUUCAGAUUCCUGUCUAGAAGUGUUUUGCAUAUCUCUCAUGGGAAAUAUAUCCUCAAAGAAUGUAGCAUCCCUUGACUCCAUUAUUGUACCGACCUUCACGUCAGGUACCUCAGAUUUCACUACUAGAAAUCUAUAGCCUACGCUAUUCUUAGCGUAUCCCAAAUUAACGCAGUCCACAGUCUUUGGUCCAAGCUUACGCUUCUUGGGGAUCGGUACGUUGACUUUCUCCAAGCAGCCCCAAGUACGUAAGUACNNNNNNNNNNNNNNNNNNNNNNNNNNNNNNNNNNNNNNNNNNNNNNNNNNNNNNNNNNNNNNNNNNNNNNNNNNNNNNNNNNNNNNNNNNNNNNNNNNNNNNNNNNNNNNNNNNNNNNNNNNNNNNNNNNNNNNNNNNNNNNNNNNNNNNNNNNNNGCGUCGUCCUUCUCUUCGACCACUCCUCGUAGGGAGUGACCUCAUUAUCUUUUGUAGGAACUUUAUUCAGGACAUGACGCGCGGUCAAUAUAGCCUCCCCCACCAUGCCUUGGAUAAACCCGAUGUAUCUAACAUGGCGUUAACCAAAUCAGUUAGAGUACGGUUUUUCCGCUCGGCAACCCCGUUUGACUGGGGUGAAUAGGGAGGCGUCCUCUCAUGAAUAAUGCCGUGUUCCGCACAAAAUGAAUCAAAUUCGUUUGAGAAGUACUCUCCACCAUGAUCAGACCGGACUCAUUUAAUUUUAUUUUCAAGUUGAUUCUCAACUUCUGCCUUAUAGAUUUUAAAGUAGUGUAGAGCCUCAUCUUUAGUAUAUAACAGAUACACAUAGCAAAAUCUAGUGGAAUCAUCUAUCAAUGUCAUGAAGUAUUUCUUUCCACCUUUAGUCAACACACCAUUCAUCUCACAAAGAUCAGAAUGUAUGAGUUCUAAUGGUGCCAAGUGUCUCUCCUCUGCAGCCUUGUGAGGCUUGCGGGGUUGCUUUGCUUGCACACACGAAUGGCACUUAGAACCUUUGGCUAAAGUGAAAGUUGGGAUUAAAUUCAGUUUUGCUAGCCGCGACAUAACACCGAAACUUAUGUGACAAAGACGUGAAUGCCAAACUUCAGAUUCAUUAACACUCGAAUGAAUAUUGUUCACGACUUUAUUACAAAAAUCUGCAAGAGAAACGCGGAACAGACCUCCGCAUUCAUAACCUUUUCCAACGAAAAGUCCAUAUUUCGUAACUACUACUUUAUUAGACUCGAAUACCAACUUAAACCCUUCUCUACACAGAAGGGAGCCACUAACUAGAUUCUUCUUGAUGGCGGGGACAUGCUGCACGUUCUUCAGCUGCACGAUCCUUCCCGAAGUAAACUUCAGAUCGACCAUGCCAACACCAAGAACAGAAGCACUCGCGCCAUUCUCCAUCAAUACGGACCCGCGACCGGUGGCGUGAUAAGAAGAGAACAAUGAUAAGUCAGCACACACAUGAAUAUUUGCACCCGUGUCCACCCACCAAUCGGUGGACUGACAAACUGUAAAUACAGUAAGUAAAUUACCAUACCCAGAUGCACCACUUUCAUUGUUACCCACAAUCAUAUUGGCAGACUUGGAGUCCUGCUCCGGCUUCUUGUACUUGUUUGGACACUUAUGCGCCCAAUGUUCCUCUCAACCACAAGUAUAGCAGCCAUCUCCCUUCUUAUUAUUCUUGAAGGGCUUCUUUUCCUUCUUCUUGAAGUCGGUAUUCAGUUGGACAGAAUUCUUUCCCUUGGGCUUGUGGGAAUUGAGGUUCCUCUGGUGUACCAUAUUGGCAGCAGAAGAGCUUUCCACCACUUUUCCAUUAGAGUCCUUUGCUCUCGAGUUCUGCUCAACACUCAGAUGGCCGAUGAUGUCCUCUACUGAGAACUCACGCCUCUGAUGUUUUAGAGUAGUAGCAAAGUUCCUCCAGGAAUUAGGGAGCUUAGCAAUUAUACAACCCGCGACAAACUUGCCCGGUAAAUUGCACUUAAGAACCUCAAGUUCUUUGGCUAUGCAUAUUAUCUCAUGAGCCUGUUCCAAUACAGAACGGUUGUCAACCAUCUUGUAAUCGUGGAACUGCUCCAUAACAUACAUCUCACUCCCAGCAUCGGUGGCCCCGAAUUUAGAUUCGAGCGCCUCCCACAAGUCCUUGGCAACAUGCAUAUGUAAUAUGCAUCAACCAGCUUAUCUCCGAUCACGCUAAUGACCGCUCCAAGGAAUAGGACGGUGGCCUCCUUAAACAUCUUCUCCUGUUCAGGAGUGAUAGUUUCCGUAGGAGUGACACCGGCUACCCAGAACACGUUCAUAGCCGUGAGCCAUAAGGUGGUUCUCGUUUGCCAACGCUUGAAAAAGGUACCUGUAAACUUAUCCGGUUUCAGUGCAGCAGCAAAACCAUUACUCGAAAAAUUCCUACACACAUUAGGUUUUUGGAUUGUUGAGUAAAUAGGCAAUUUUCCGAGUAGAUUAAUCCANAUCUCUAAUUUCAACACAGUCUGUAUUCACAAUAUCAUCAUAAGGCGGCUUAUAGAAACAUACCAUGACACGAUGACCUCUCUUUGACAAAGCCUUAGGCAAAGCUCCAGCAACAUCCCCAAGUCCACCUGCAGAAGAUUAAAAACAUGGUUACAGCUCCCUUAGCAAGCCAUUAGAAACGAAAAUGAGCAGUGUCUUCAGGCUUGAAAUCAUGUGCAGCUAUGUAUACUUAUUAUAUUAUACAACAAUGAAAAUUGUGCUCGCUCGUUUGAUUACCGAACUGACUUUCAGCUUAAUGAUAACAUUUGCACAGAUUUCAUACGACCUCCAAAAAAUAGAAACAAAACAAGGGAUGCU
Molecule: long non-coding RNA, 7110 nt
Filed under: Hordeum vulgare
Lineage: Eukaryota; Viridiplantae; Streptophyta; Magnoliopsida; Poales; Poaceae
Description: long non-coding RNA (HVUL_LNC019917)
Source: RNAcentral